RNAcentral lists this ribosomal RNA (497 nucleotides) under uncultured bacterium. Its description in RNAcentral is "partial 16S ribosomal RNA". It matches the Rfam family "Bacterial small subunit ribosomal RNA", at positions 28 to 507 of the family's 1533-position model. The record is from RNAcentral.
GAUGAACGCUGGCGGCGUGCCUAAUACAUGCAAGUCGAGCGAAAGGACGAGGAGCUUGCUGCUCUGAUGUUAGGGGCGGGCGGGAGAGAAACACGUGGAAAACGUACCUAUAAGACUGGGAUAACUUCGGGAAACCGGAGCUAAUAGCGGAGAAGAUUUUGAACCGCAUGGUUCGAAAGUGAAAGACGGUGUUGGUGUCACUAAUAGAUGGAUCCGCGCUGCAUUAGCUAGUUGGUAAGGUAACGGCCUACGAAGGCAACGAUGCCUAGCCGACCUGAGAGGGUGAUCGGCCACCCUGGAACUGGGACACCGUCCUGACUCCUACGGGAGGCAGCAGUAUGGAAUCUUCCGCAAUGGGCGGGAGCCUUACGGAGCAGCCCCGCGCGAGUGAUGACGGUCCUCGGAUCGUGAAACUCUGUUAUUAGGGAAGAACAUAUGUCUAAGUUACUGUGCACAGCUUGACGGUACCUAAUCAGAAAGCCACGGCUAACUACGUG